GAUAUCAACUGAAAAAGUUAUCAACAACAAAGUUGAAUAACUCAUCAAGAUCUAAAACUUUUAUUUUGGUCAUUUCUUCAUACGACAAAGUGAUAGUAACAUUGUUUUACAAAAUUGACAUAUCUCUUAUCUAGUUUUAUAAACUAUAACACAUAUAUGUAAAAUUUAUAAAUAAUAUUACUAACAUUUCGUCAGAUGAAGAAAUAACAAAAAUAAAAGUUUUAGAUCUUGAUGAGUUAUUCAACUUUGUUGUUGAUGACUUUUUCAAUUGAAAUC
Oryza sativa Indica Group (long-grained rice) is the source of this 276-nucleotide microRNA precursor. It matches the Rfam family "MIR821 microRNA precursor family". Lineage: Eukaryota; Viridiplantae; Streptophyta; Magnoliopsida; Poales; Poaceae. The record is from Rfam.